Molecule: small RNA, 813 nt
Filed under: Pan troglodytes (chimpanzee)
Lineage: Eukaryota; Metazoa; Chordata; Mammalia; Primates; Hominidae
Description: processed transcript
Source: RNAcentral
ACCGUGCUGGGCGGGAGCUUCGGGAGCCGGCGCACGGGACUCGAACCCCAAGGGCUCCCGCCGCCAGGUCCACGUGGACCCUGGGCCGCAGUGGAACUGGAGCCCGCCCCCCGCGCGUGGGGGAGGGGGCGCUGCAGCCGGGUUCCCCUUUUUCUGGAGCUCAAAGCCUGGGGAAGUGAUUGCUCAAAGGUGGGGGCCGGAAGAACCCAGGUUUCCGCGUCUCCCUCCCCCUCUCAGCCCGGUGAGGAGGGGCCGGGGCGGGACACCCUGUCCGCCCCCGCCCCCACCCCGCUGGAUCUGGCAGCCACUUAGCCCUUCGAGCUGUAGGGGAGGCGCUGCGCCCCCGGCCCCAGCCGAUCGGGGGCUCCUGGCGCUAGCCUCCCUCCAGAGCGCCGCAGGAGUCCCUCCUGCCGUCUGACUUGAGUCCCUGCUGCUGCAGUGCACGCCCCUUCGGCAGCCAGGGUGGGGCCCAGACCCAACCUGGCCCCUCCUGCCCCCACCCCGCCUUUGGGUCGCUGACCCCCAGGCUGUGGUGAGGGUCUGAGAGCUGGUACCACGGAGCCUGGGCAACCUCCUCCGCCCACCCAUGCCCACCCCGCAUGAGGCUGAGAAGCAGAUCACAGGGCCAGAGGAGGCGGACCGGCCCCCUUCAAUGUCCAGUCAUGAUACAGCCUCUCCAGCGGCCCCCAGCCGCAACCCCUGCUGCCUGUGCUGGUGCUGCUGCUGUAGCUGCUCCUGGAACCAAGAGCGGCGGCGCGCGUGGCAGGCCUCCCGGGAGAGCAAGCUGCAGCCCCUCCCCAGCUGUGAAGUAUG